GGCCCGGGAGGUGGGGCCGGUUAGGGCGAGGGUCCCCGGGAUCGUAGUGUCAGGCCUUGGGCCAACGUAGGCACUCGCAGUUCCUCCGCCUUCAGGAAGGUCUUUUUGGCAGGGGCCUUACGGGUGCGCGCUUCGGUCCUGGAGGCGUUAUCCUAGCCUCCUCUCCAUCAGCGCCACCCGUCUGGGGCCCGAUAGGAGGGAGCUUUCUGUCUGUCCCCCAGCCUUUGGACUGUCACCAAACAAGCCAUCCGUUCACCAAAUACUUAUUAAGCGCCUACCAUGUGUCUGGCAAGGGAGGUGUAACAGUGAGAAAAACUAGGUGUGGUCCAGGCCCUCCAGGGGCUCAGGGGCUCGUGGAAGAAGUGGACAUUGAAGUACUUACCACACAAAUGAGCAUGAAAGUACAAUAGCAAUAUCUGCCACGAAGGCGAGCAGACAGAGCUAGCAGGGCUUCCAGGAGGAGUUUUGAUCUUGCAGGGACAGGAAGGAGGAGUUAGCUCCUGGGGGGCGGGAUUGGGGGUGGUGGUGAUAUAGACGUGGGGACAGAGUGGAAAACAACAAAAAUAUAAUUAUUUUAGUUCAAAGUUAUUGUGUCUUGAGUUGAAAGGCAGGGCAGUUAGCGACACGGUUCAGAUUUCAGUACUGCCCCUGAAAUCUGAAUUGUGUUCAAAGUCUAAAACGUUUACCUUAGCAAAUCCCUCAUAAAACUCCAUUUGGAAGAGUCCCGAGAGCUAAUUUGUUAAGUAUACUUGCAGAAGGUAGAUGAGGAGACAGAUUAAAUCUUAUUACCUCUUUCAGAUGAGAGGCACUUGAGCCCUGCUCAGCCGUGAGAAUAAGAGGGGGAAUUAAUUCUAAUUGAAUACACUUGUUCUCUCACAGCUGUUGUUCCCCACCAGAACCAAAUGAGCGCAAGAUCUGACAAAGAAAAAAAAAGGUUCAUCUUUUAUUCCGCCAAACACUUUCAUCUAAAUCAAGAGGGUGGGAUGUGGUUAUUGCUGUGUUUUUAGACAGAAUCAACAGUUUCUGGGUCUGAGAUAUUGCAUACACCCUCUCAGUCCCUGUAUCCUCAGAUGGAGUCACCUGAGAAUCCACAGCAAGUCCUAACCGGGGAUGGGUCUGGGUGGUUAAGGAAGGUUGGCCUCAGAACUGGGCCAGGGGCACUGCUUUGCUUUUGCUGUUUUGAUCAGCUCUCUGCCCGCAGGAGACAAGGAAAACCAAUGGGAACAGCCCAGUAAAGGCGCCAUUCCCCAUUUUACAGCUGGGGAAACUGAGUUACAGAGCUUGUCUACACUGAGUCAACAGGAGCAAAUGCUAGAUCAGACAAGGUCUAGCUGGAGUACAGUGAUGCAGUCAUAGCCC
Molecule: long non-coding RNA, 1359 nt
Filed under: Homo sapiens (human)
Lineage: Eukaryota; Metazoa; Chordata; Mammalia; Primates; Hominidae
Description: HSALNT0314315
Source: RNAcentral